Long non-coding RNA from Columba livia (rock pigeon), 1709 nucleotides. RefSeq lists it as uncharacterized. The transcript is spliced from 3 exons. The record is from RefSeq and is a predicted model, not a curated record. NCBI's taxonomy places the organism in Eukaryota, Metazoa, Chordata, Aves, Columbiformes, Columbidae.
UUACUUCUUGUGUUCAAGUUUAGCACCAAAGUCCUUUUCCGCAGAACUCUUCUAUCCAGUUGAUUACCAGACUAGACUGAUGCUCUGGAUUAUUCAGUCCCUGGUAUAGGACUUUGAGUUUAAUUUUGCAGUACAUGAUCUGUUAGCUAAUUUUGCCAGCAUGUUGAGGUCCAAGUGAAUAGCAGCAUAUCAACCACUUCCUCCAGUUUGUCAUCAUCCACAAAUUGCUGAGGUCUCAUUCCACUCCAUUAAUCAGGAUGUUUAUAGAAACAUCAAACAGUAUCAGCCUAGCAUCAGUCCCUGAAGAACACCACUACUAACUUGUCACCACUUAGACUUUGUGCUGUUGGUCACCACCAUUUCAGUCUGGUGUCCAAUAAAUUUUCACCAAUCUUACAGUUCAUCUAUCCAGUCCAUAUUUCACCAAUUUGCUCUAAAGAUACUACGCCAACUGAUUUGAAAGCCUUUCUAAGAUCAAGGUAUACAACAUUCAACAUACAGCAGAUCUUGAGGUACAGGGGGGUUUCGGGAGGUUCCUUUGCCAGGGGAACCCCCUGAGAGUGGUGCAACCCGGCAGCGCCCGGCAGCUCUUGUGUGUGGGCGUUGCCAGGGUAACAACAAUCACAGCCCCGCCCCCAGCCCUGAAACAGCCUCAGGGAGGGCAGGGACACGUCGCUGCCCACCAGGCGCUGGGAGGUGAGACCAGCGUGUGAAGCUGAUGGUGUUAGCACACACGGCCACAUUGUGGUAUGUCUGCUGACUGGCCCCUGCAACACCCUACCAUUCUCCACGGAAAUCACUCUACGAAUAUUGGAUCUAUGGCUGUCCCCUUAAGCUGAUAAGAAAUGCACAUUUGAUGGAGAACAAAGGGGCAAAAAACCUAUCUGGAAUUGAUCUGUGGGCACUUCAGGAGAGAGAGAGAGAGAAAGAAGAAUACAAGGUUUCUAUUAAAUAUGAACAGAGGACAAAACCAACAAUAAGCUCCAGUGAAGUCCGAGAUCACUGUUCAGUCGCAGUACUAGAAUACAUGCACUGUGCUAUGUGAUGCAUGUGCAUUAGUGCUGAACAUCACAUGUACCACUGAUAGCAGGAGAGAGACCCAAACAAUAGCUGAAGAUUUGGGGUCAACAAAAGUGACAUGGUCAAAGAUAUCAAUCUAGAAACCUUAACAAUUCGACAUAUUUUUAAAAGCUAAGGUCACGUUAAAUGGAAAUGAAGUGUCAACAAUGCAUACUUUAGUCAUAACAACAUUACUACUAUUUUCCCAUAUUUCACUUUGAUAUAGCUGUCAUUAAUGCCUGUUGUCAUUAAAUGAAGGGUCAUAAUGAAAGAUGUUUAUGGAAAUAGCUUCAGGUCUGUUUCCCUAAUAAUAUAGGAACACUUAGAAUUUAUUGCAAAUCCGCAGCAAUUUUUUUCAAAGCCAGAUGAGAAUGGAUACAUAGUUCAAUUAUCAUAACAUUACUGGAAAACAUUUCACUUCAUAUUUAACUAUGGGAUCAUUGCCUUUCAAAUGGGCAUGUUUUAUACAAGAUAUGCAUAUUGUAUUUUAUACAGUAUGUGUUCAGGUUUGCUUCUAGUGAGCAAAGAGGCUUUGAUGUUCACACUAUUUCACUAGGAGCAAAGUGUGGUUUGUAUUUCCAGUCCCAGCUUAGUGUGCAGAUAGAAUAUUUGUGUUGACACUGUAUCAUACAUUAGCAGGUACUCGAAGG